RNAcentral lists this long non-coding RNA (740 nucleotides) under Lepisosteus oculatus (spotted gar). Its description in RNAcentral is "lncRNA (ENSLOCG00000021785.1)". Lineage: Eukaryota; Metazoa; Chordata; Actinopteri; Semionotiformes; Lepisosteidae. The record is from RNAcentral.
UUGUUCUGUGGGUCUCAAAGGUAAGUGUCUGAAAGCUUAAAGGUGCAAAAGGCAAAGUAUAGCUUCAGACCUGGACUGCAACCCCGAAUGCACUGGGCGUUAGAGGAGAGUGGGGUGAAUGCAGCUCUGAAGUGAAAGAUCCGAUGUCCCGCUGCACUGUGAGCUGAGCCGAGGCAGACGAACAGCCCUGCGGACCGGUGCUGUCAGUGCAGAGCCGGGAGAGUCAGACGUGCAGAACCACACACUCACAGUCGCUGGCCCCGCUGCUUGCUGCUCCAGCUGUUGGUGCUGUGUCACAGGAUGCCAGACCCCCGAGCGCGGGGCUUCCAGCACCCUCUCACAGAGCAACACACCUACAGCGUCGCGGAGAGCAUGUCAGGAUAGGGAGUGUGUUAAGAGCAUGCAGUCACAAUGAAUCUCAAUUUUAAGUAGUCCAAUCACAAUGCCACAGCAAAAACAUGUUUAUAAAGUUAAUCCCUAGCCUUGACAAGUGUAAAAAAAGAUGGACAACACAAGACAUUGACAAAGGUCUUGAGCCCAUAGGUUGAUUUUGCAGCAGGACAAUGCAAGAUCAUGCAGUGGUAAGAUUGAAAGGACACAACUUCACUUGUUGUGGGCUUUCUCCAAGGCAGAGUUACUCAAAAUAGGAGACAACCGUCCGGCCUUCAUCAGCUGUCUGCAGCUGCACAGGAAGAAUGUCAGAACAUCCCACAGCAGUCUGUCCAGAGGCUGACCAGGUG